AUUCUCAUCCCAGCAACAUACAUACUAAAUGUGGAAUGAUACAGAAAAAGAUUCUCAAGGCCCUCCACAAGGAUGUCCCACAAAUUCACAAAGUGUUUCUUAUUUUU
RNAcentral lists this small nuclear RNA (107 nucleotides) under Neotoma lepida (desert woodrat). Lineage: Eukaryota; Metazoa; Chordata; Mammalia; Rodentia; Cricetidae. The record is from RNAcentral.